This 429-nucleotide ribosomal RNA is filed under the name Chloroflexota bacterium. RNAcentral's name for it is "Chloroflexi bacterium partial 16S ribosomal RNA". It matches the Rfam family "Bacterial small subunit ribosomal RNA", at positions 355 to 776 of the family's 1533-position model. The record is from RNAcentral. Lineage: Bacteria; Bacillati; Chloroflexota.
UGGGGAAUAUUGCACAAUGGGCGCAAGCCUGAUGCAGCCAUGCCGCGUGUAUGAAGAAGGCCUUCGGGUUGUAAAGUACUUUCAGCGGGGAGGAAGGGAGUAAAGUUAAUACCUUUGCUCAUUGACGUUACCCGCAGAAGAAGCACCGGCUAACUCCGUGCCAGCAGCCGCGGUAAUACGGAGGGUGCAAGCGUUAAUCGGAAUUACUGGGCGUAAAGCGCACGCAGGCGGUUUGAUAAGUCAGAUGUGAAAUCCCCGGGCUCAACCUGGGAACUGCAUCUGAUACUGGCAAGCUUGAGUCUCGUAGAGGGGGGUAGAAUUCCAUGUGUAACGGUGAAAUGCGUAGAGAUGUGGAGGAAUACCGGUGGCGAAGGCGGCCCCCUGGACAAAGACUGACGCUCAGGUGCGAAAGCGUGGGGAGCAAACAGG